Pelobates cultripes (western spadefoot toad) is the source of this 85-nucleotide non-coding RNA. Lineage: Eukaryota; Metazoa; Chordata; Amphibia; Anura; Pelobatidae. The record is from the annotation of a GenBank genome assembly.
CGGCACUCCAGAUGUUUUGGACUACACCUCCCAUGAUGAUAUGCCAGCAAUAUGGGGGAUGUAGUCCACAACAUCUGCAGUGCCG